Molecule: ribosomal RNA, 253 nt
Filed under: uncultured bacterium
Lineage: Bacteria
Description: partial 16S ribosomal RNA
Rfam family: Bacterial small subunit ribosomal RNA
Source: RNAcentral
UACGUAGGGUGCGAGCGUUGUCCGGAAUUAUUGGGCGUAAAGCGCUCGUAGGCGGUUUGUUGCGUCGGCCGUGAAAACCUGCAGCUUAACUGUGGGCCUGCGGCCGAUACGGGCAGACUUGAGUUCGGUAGGGGAGACUGGAAUUCCUGGUGUAGCGGUGAAAUGCGCAGAUAUCAGGAGGAACACCGAUGGCGAAGGCAGGUCUCUGGGCCACUACUGACGCUGAGGAGCGAAAGCCAGGGGAGCAAACGGG